Molecule: small nuclear RNA, 107 nt
Organism: Lemur catta (Ring-tailed lemur)
Lineage: Eukaryota; Metazoa; Chordata; Mammalia; Primates; Lemuridae
Source: RefSeq, a predicted model, not a curated record
GUGCUCACGUUGGCAAUACAUAUGCUAAAAUUGGAUUGAAACAGAUUAGAUUAGCAUGGUCCCUGCACAAGGGUGACACACAAAUUUAUGAAAUGCUCUAUAUUUAA